UGCCGAGCGGGGAGAGCCGAGCCCUGCCCGGGGUCAGCGGGGCGGCUCGCCCGGCUCUGGCAGCAGCAGUGCCGCCCCCGGCAGCCAGCGCCUUGCCCGCAUCCUUCCUGCGAGCUGGAGACGGAGACCGGCGAGUGCUGGAGAGCCCCGGCUGCAGCCGGGCGAAGGGCUGCAACAGGGGCAGAGGAGGAUGGUGAGACACUCCUUUCUACAGCUGUACAGCACAGAAACAUUUCUGCAAUGAAGCAAAGGGAGUGUUACACGUAGGAAGCACUGAGCACUUCUGGGCAGGCAAGUGAAGAAGAACGUUUUCACUGUGUACCCAGGCAGAGAUAAGCUCCACAAGAGCUUAUGUUCUUUUUUACUGUAGAAGAGACUGGAGCAACAGGAUGGGAGAGGUGCCCAGGGACAGCUGCCAGGUCUGUGAGUUCAGAAGCCCGUGGACCUACUGCUCUGGGAAUGUCUGCAAUAUCCAUGGAGAGGUCUGCUACCUUAUCACCCAGGAGUAGGAGGCAGUGAACUGGAGGAUCUAUUGCAAAGCAUAUCCAGAAAUGGAAGACUUUUAUUCUUUCCUACUCAUGAGAAAGAUCUGUCAAGUCAGUGAGUGGUUUGAUUGAAUGAGAGCAGUGAAACUAGUCCAUGGUGGAAGAUUUUUUAAAAGACAGGUGUCAUCGUGUCUUUUUCGACGUCAAUCCAUUGUGAAUCAUGCAGACACACCAGUGAAAGAACAGAACCUGCUGCAGCCUGUGAGCAACAAGAAAUUUCAGCUGGAUGACUGCAUAAGGGCUUUGCAAGACCGCCAGUAAUUUUUUUAUAUUCAGAGUUAAAUAGAGCAAUAAGAUGGAAUUUCAGCUUUAGUGCAAUGGAUUGCAGCUCUUCAGUCAAUCAAAUUAUAGUUCAAUCAGUUCAUUUUAAUCACUUCUCUGGAGAGAAGUAAACCCCUAUGUUGAAGAAUAUGCAGCAAUUUUAUUGAUGGAAAGUUUAAUUGUUUCAUUUUUCCUUACCGUCUGUAACAUACUAGACUUUUAAUCAGUGGGAACUGAAGUUAUAAUGAAGUAAAGUCCACUUUCCACAGUUCACAACUAGCUGAAAAUAAUUGGGUUGAGACUCCCAUCCAGACAGUGUAAUGCCUCUGGCAUUUUCCUGAAAACUACACUUAAUUGCUUUGCUGAUGUUGUUAAGUGGUCCUAAGGGGGAUGAAGUAGUAAAGCUGCUCACAUAUGCAGAGAAACAAUACACAAAAAAUGUCUUACAAGGUCCUUAAAGGAGGACCAACUAGUGACUAGAAGACAAUAUAUUGCACUUUUCCCCCCCUUUUCUAUACCAGAGAGAGCACACAGGAGAGGCUGAUAAAAUAAACUGGAAAUUCUAUAAACACUAACAGUGUUUUUAUUUAAGGACAGUAGCUUAGGAGCCAAAGUACAAAAAAUGUCAAGGCAGAGCUCUUGCAAUCAAACCUGCAUCUUUAGGCUGGCCCAAGUUGCUUGGCAUUUUUAUGCUGAACACUGGUGAGCUGCUGCCUCUCUUCAGCACCUUGGCCUGAGGAACAGAUGUACUCUUGUCCCAAGGGAGGGAGGACAGCUUGCUCUCUGUUCUCUAAAGUGACAGGAUGUGAGCCAGCGAUGAGCUGAAAGCCUUGUCCAGGCAUCAGUGGGACCAGCACAUGUACCCUGUUAGGCUUAAACAUAGCCAGAGAAGGAAUAGCUCUUUGGCAUUUCUCCUUAUUUAGUGCAUUCUUAGGAGACCCUCCAUGAUUGUAUGGUAAUUGUUUAAAAUGAUGAAAUAACUGAUAGACUCAAGGAUAUUCUGAUGAAGAAAUACAUCAGCUGUUCAAUGGAGAAAAACAUUUAUUUAGACUAGUGCCCACUGAAAUGAGUGUUGGAGCUGUUUUGUGGGGGAAGAGAACUAUAGAGCUAAUUUAGAUUUUUUUAAGUAAGUGAGGGGUUUUGUUUGGUUUUUUGUCCUUGUUUAUUUAGAUAUGUGGGCACAGUAAAGUCUCUUCUCAACCUGACCUUCCUCGGCUGCUAUUUGUGCAAACUUCAGUAUGACCUUUGCUUAUUCUGUUCUCGCUUUUACAGACUCUGAACUGAACAUCUACCCCCUGACGACUUUCUAGAAAGGAACAUAAGACAAAAUUGAGCCACGGAGUUCUAAAGCUAAAAUCUUAAAAGUUCCCUUAACCCUACACCUGACCCCAGCUGCCUUCCAGAGCCUCUAAGCUGACCUCAAAUUUGCCCAGCGUAACUUUUUCAGCACCUGAAAUUACAUGUUUUCCACUGAAACAGGCUGAAGGCUAGACAGGACUCAAGUACCUUGACAUGCAGCCCCAUGCUAGCCUGACCAUUUCCCCUAAUAUUACUAAACUUUAAUAUGUAUUCCUGCUAUGGUGAAACAAUCACCUCCCAUGUGUUGGAACUGCUGACCAUCUGCCAAGGAGCUCAGCCUCAGUGAGAACGUGCCCUGUGUCCAAUUCAGUCUGCUUGCCUGUCUCUGGGAGAGCAGCUCAGCAGUGCUCGGGCUUUGCUGUUCCUGGGCUCCUGUUUUGUCAUGAGUCAUGUGGUGUGGAAUGGUUUUAGCAAAUGCACCAAAUGAGGGCUGUGUUGUAUCAACUGAUGAGAGACAGUGUUUGGGUUUUGUUUGCUCAGAGAUGCUGAGGGCCUGGAGGAGCCAGGGCAAAUCUACAGUACAGAGGGCAAAUUACCAACCUGGUGUGGCUGGCUGAAAUUUUCCCUGUGUUGUCUGGCUGGCUUAGAGGGUAGCCUGCCCUGAGCCUUCUUUUGGGGACAGGGUUGCUGUCCCAGAAGGAGGAGUUCUUCCUGGAGCUAUAAUGCAGUCCCGUGCAGCAGCACAGCUGCCAGUUGGCCCUUCCUGACAAGCAGACCUGUUUGCUGGGGCUCACAUGCUUUAAAAUCUUAGUCUGGGUCUCAGUGGAAACAAGGAGGAGAAUGAUUUGACACACAUUCCUCUGAUUUGACAUACUGUGCGGUUACAACAUGGUGUGUCCUCCACCAGAAAUCCAAAAUACAUGUUGCUGUGCAGGCACAAAUCUGACUGUUCCUGAUAAACUGUUCAUGUGGAAAGAUACAAUUUGCAUGGUUGUCAUCAAAGCCAGUGUAUGUAUUCAUUUGUGGAAACGUCAGACACCAUGUGUCACUAAUAUGCCUUUUAUAUGUUGGUGUCUGAAUAAUUUUUUCAACUGCUGAAUGGCAUAUGUUUAAAUGCAAGCAUCUGUUCUUUGUCUGUACUGUCUGUAUUAUUUAUUCUUUAUUUCUUAUUUUCUUUUGACUAAAAGUUUGAUAUAAACCUAGAAAAAAUGUGGGAUAAAUCUUAUUUUUAAAAAGCAGAGUUUUGGUAGUAUUUCAGCAUGUGGCAAUAUGUAUCUUCUCACAGAUGAGAAAGUAAUUUAAAAGAUAAUUUUUCCCCUUCCAGUAACCAGAAAAAAAUCAGUUCCCAGGCAAAACAAAGAUUAGAUUUGACUACAAGUUUGUUAAAUGAAAAACUUAUUGUUUAGUGUUGGGCAGGUUCUGCAAUGUAUGGAUUUGCUGAAAAUAAGUCCUUGUAAGAGCCAUACGUUACGCCAUGAUGACAGUAAAUUGGUUCUAUCCAGAAACUUUUUUGAUUCAGUUAAAGAACUUGCCGUAUAAUAAAUGACUUAAUAAAGGAAUGGAAUAAUA
Molecule: long non-coding RNA, 3674 nt
Organism: Catharus ustulatus (Swainson's thrush)
Lineage: Eukaryota; Metazoa; Chordata; Aves; Passeriformes; Turdidae
Exons: 6
Source: RefSeq, a predicted model, not a curated record